RNAcentral lists this ribosomal RNA (618 nucleotides) under uncultured bacterium. RNAcentral's name for it is "bacterial SSU rRNA". It matches the Rfam family "Bacterial small subunit ribosomal RNA", at positions 214 to 828 of the family's 1533-position model. The record is from RNAcentral.
CGGCGUUAAAGAUGGACAUGCGUAACAUUAAGUUUGUUGGUGAGGUAACGGCUCGCAAGACUACGAUGUUUAGGGGGUCUGAGAGGGAUGGUCCCCCCACACUGGUACUGAGACACGGACCAGACUCCUACGGGAGGCACGAGUGAGGAAUAUUGGUCAAUGGGCGCAAGCCUGAACCAGCCAUGCCGCGUGAAGGAUGACAGCGCUAUGCGUUGUAAACUUCUUUUGUACAGGAAGAAACACUUCUACGUGUAGAAGCUUGACGGUACUGUACGAAUAAGCAUCGGCUAACUCCGUGCCAGCAGCCGCGGUAAUACGGAGGAUGCAAGCGUUAUCCGGAUUUAUUGGGUUUAAAGGGUACGUCAGGCGGAAAAUUAAGUCAGUAGUGAAAUCCUGCAGCUUAACUGUAGAACUGUUAUUGAUACUGGUUUUCUUGAAUAUAGUUGAGGUAAGCGGAAUGUGUAAUGUAGCGGUGAAAUGCUUAGAUAUUACACAGAACACCGAUUGCGAAGGCAGCUUACUAAUAUGUAUGACGCUGAGGUACGAAAGCGUGGGGAGCGAACAGGAUUAGAUACCCUGGUAGUCCACGCCGUAAACGAUGAUCACUCGUUGUUGGCG